Molecule: ribosomal RNA, 492 nt
Filed under: uncultured bacterium
Lineage: Bacteria
Description: partial 16S ribosomal RNA
Rfam family: Bacterial small subunit ribosomal RNA
Source: RNAcentral
GAUGAACGCUAGCUACAGGCUUAACACAUGCAAGUCGAGGGGAAACGACAUCGAAAGCUUGCUUUUGAUGGGCGUCGACCGGCGCACGGGUGAGUAACGCGUAUCCAACCUGCCCAUCACUUGGGAAUAACCUUGCGAAAGUAAGACUAAUACCCAAUGACAUCCCACGAAGACAUCUGAAUGGGAUUAAAGAUUUAUCGGUGAUGGAUGGGGAUGCGUCUGAUUAGCUUGUUGGCGGGGUAACGGCCCACCAAGGCAACGAUCAGUAGGGGUUCUGAGAGGAAGGGCCCCCAAAUUGGAACUGAGACACGGUCCAAACGCAUACGGGAGGCAGCAGUGAGGAAUAUUGGUCAAUGGGCGAGAGCCUGAACCAGCCAAGUAGCGUGCAGGAUGACGGCCCUAUGGGUUGUAAACUGCUUUUAUAAGGGAAUAAAGUGGGUCUCGUGAGACUUUUUGCAUGUACCUUAUGAAUAAGGACCGGCUAAUUCCGUG